CUCCGAGCAGUUAAGCCAAUAGGGUUUCUUUCCUCUCCAGGGUCCAGUGCGCAAUGGCUGCAGAGGACAGCCUCCUGGUAAUACAUGACCUGCUGCUUGUAUGGUUUCCCCUAAGCAACUCUCAAGAGCUUU
This is a small nucleolar RNA of Mastomys coucha (southern multimammate mouse), 132 nucleotides long. RefSeq annotates it as small nucleolar RNA SNORA70. The transcript has a single exon. The record is from RefSeq and is a predicted model, not a curated record. Lineage: Eukaryota; Metazoa; Chordata; Mammalia; Rodentia; Muridae.